RNAcentral lists this ribosomal RNA (492 nucleotides) under uncultured bacterium. RNAcentral describes it as "partial 16S ribosomal RNA". It matches the Rfam family "Bacterial small subunit ribosomal RNA", at positions 29 to 507 of the family's 1533-position model. The record is from RNAcentral.
AGUGAACGCUGGCGGUAGGCCUAACACAUGCAAGUCGAACGGCAGCACAGUAAGAGCUUGCUCUUACGGGUGGCGAGUGGCGGACGGGUGAGGAAUACAUCGGAAUCUACUUUUUCGUGGGGGAUAACGUAGGGAAACUUACGCUAAUACCGCAUACGACCAACGGGUGAAAGCAGGGGAUCUUCGGGCCUUGCGCGAUUGAAUGAGCCGAUGUCGGAUUAGCUAGUUGGCGGGGUAAAGGCCCACCAAGGCGACGAUCCGUAGCUGGUCUGAGAUGAUGAUCAGCCACACUGGAACUGAGACACGGUCCAGACUCCUACGGGAGGCAGCAGUGGGGAAUAUUGGACAAUGGGCGCAAGCCUGAUCCAGCCAUACCGCGUGGGUGAAGAAGGCCUUCGGGUUGUAAAGCCCUUUUGUUGGGAAAGAAAAGCAGCAGGUUAAUACCCCGCUGUUCUGACGGUACCCAAAGAAUAAGCACCGGCUAACUUCGUG